AGUGAACGCUGGCGGUAGGCCUAACACAUGCAAGUCGAACGGCAGCACAGAGGAGCUUGCUCCUUGGGUGGCGAGUGGCGGACGGGUGAGGAAUACAUCGGAAUCUACUCUGUCGUGGGGGAUAACGUAGGGAAACUUACGCUAAUACCGCAUACGACCUACGGGUGAAAGCAGGAGACCUUCGGGCCUUGCGCGAUUGAAUGAGCCGGUGUCGGAUUAGCUAGUUGGCGGGGUAAAGGCCCACCAAGGCGACGAUCCGUAGCUGGUCUGAGAGGAUGAUCAGCCACACUGGAACUGAGACACGGUCCAGACUCCUACGGGAGGCAGCAGUGGGGAAUAUUGGACAAUGGGCGCAAGCCUGAUCCAGCCAUACCGCGUGGGUGAAGAAGGCCUUCGGGUUGUAAAGCCCUUUUGUUGGGAAAGAAAUCCAGCUGGCUAAUACCCGGUUGGGAUGACGGUACCCAAAGAAUAAGCACCGGCUAACUUCGUGCCAGCCGCCGCAGUAA
This 506-nucleotide ribosomal RNA is filed under the name uncultured bacterium. Its description in RNAcentral is "partial 16S ribosomal RNA". It matches the Rfam family "Bacterial small subunit ribosomal RNA", at positions 29 to 523 of the family's 1533-position model. The record is from RNAcentral.